GGCGCUUCCAUAGCACUCCAGAGCAGGCCUCAUAUGCUGUUCAGGUGCAGUCGCGUGGUGCGCCCACCCGCCCUCCAUACGCGCAGAAUGUCCAUGAGGACAGUGGUCAUGGAGCACGGCGUCCCUUUGUCACUAUACUACUUCAUCACAAAUGAACUCCUCGUUUGCCUGCUGACGUGCUUGCUGCACUACGGCUACUUUGGCCAAGAGGACCUUUUUGGCUUUUUGAAAUCUGUCGGCGCCUCAAAGUACGUAGACCUAAACUCCAUCGAAGGCAAAAGCUGGUCAUUAUUUGGCGGACAGCUUGUUGUGAGCGCGCGACUUGUCGCCAACUUCACUGCUGCAUCCUUGUUUAUGUCUCUAUGGACACCCGUUCAGCUGCCCAUUUGCAUUGCCACCUAUCCGCAUCUGAAGCGCUUCAGCCAACUUUUGAGGAAAAGGGGUUGUGUUUCUAAACCGAUUUAGAGUGCUGGCUAAGUGGUGCAGGGAUGCCACCAAAAGCUGUAUUGCAGUCGUAGCUUCAUUUAUGCUCUGUCAAUGUUGUUCCUCGCUACACAGCGUGAGAUGCGCUGGCAGAUGAAUAGUAUCUGCGCUCUUCAAUGUACUCGUAAGUAGACAAAAGGCAAACCAUGCUCCAUCAUGCAAGGUUUUGUUUCGAAGAAAGCGUGAGAGCGGUAACUUUCCCUUCCUUUUUCGCUUUGUUCCUCUGGGGCGGUAACCCCACUCUGGGCAGGAAAGGGAUAGAACUAGCACUUCAUGUACAACCACGCUAGCGCAACUCAGCUACUUUUCUUUUCCCCAUUCUACGGCUCAUAG
This 816-nucleotide unclassified non-coding RNA is filed under the name Leishmania donovani. RNAcentral's name for it is "gene:LdHU3.01.0350(CDS-product:hypothetical_prote in_conserved)". Lineage: Eukaryota; Euglenozoa; Kinetoplastea; Trypanosomatida; Trypanosomatidae. The record is from RNAcentral.